CCUACGGGUGGCAGCAGUGGGGAAUAUUGGUCAAUGGGCGCAAGCCUGACCCAGCAACGCCGCGUGAAGGAAGAAGGCUUUCGGGUUGUAAACUUCUUUUCUUAGAGGCGAAGAAAGUGACGGUACCUCAUGAAUAAGCCACGGCUAACUACGUGCCAGCAGCCGCGGUAAUACGUAGGUGGCAAGCGUUAUCCGGAUUUAUUGGGUGUAAAGGGCGUGUAGGCGGGAAAGCAAGUCAGAUGUGAAAACUCAGGGCUCAACCCUGAGCCUGCAUUUGAAACUGUUUUUCUUGAGUUCUGGAGAGGCAAUCGGAAUUCCGGGUGUAGCGGUGAAAUGCGUAGAUAUACGGAGGAACACCAGUGGCGAAGGCGGAUUGCUGGACAGUAACUGACGCUGAGGCGCGAAAGUGUGGGGAGCAAACAGGAUUAGAUACCCGUGUAGUC
RNAcentral lists this ribosomal RNA (443 nucleotides) under uncultured bacterium. RNAcentral describes it as "partial 16S ribosomal RNA". It matches the Rfam family "Bacterial small subunit ribosomal RNA", at positions 338 to 795 of the family's 1533-position model. The record is from RNAcentral.